This 460-nucleotide ribosomal RNA is filed under the name uncultured bacterium. Its description in RNAcentral is "partial 16S ribosomal RNA". It matches the Rfam family "Bacterial small subunit ribosomal RNA", at positions 338 to 795 of the family's 1533-position model. The record is from RNAcentral.
CCUACGGGAGGCAGCAGUGAGGAAUAUUGGUCAAUGGGCUUACGCCUGAACCAGCCAAGUCGCGUGCGGGAAGACUGCCCUAUGGGUUGUAAACCUCUUUUGUCAGGGAGUAACGCCGGCUACGUGUAGCCGGACUGAGAGUACCUGAAGAAAAAGCAUCGGCUAACCCCGUGCCAGCAGCAGCGGUAAUACGGAGGAUGCGAGCGUUAUCCGGUUUUAUUGGGUUUAAAGGGUGCGUAGGCGGAAUGCCAAGUCAGCGGUAAAAUCGGGGGGCUCAACCUCGCUCCGCCGUUGAAACUGGCGUUCUUGAGUGGGCGUGAAGUAUGCGGAAUGCGUGGUGUAGCGGUGAAAUGCAUAGAGAUCACGCAGAACACCGAUUGCGAAGGCAGCAUACCGGCGCCCAACUGACGCUGAGGCACGAAAGCGUGGGGAUCGAACAGGAUUAGAUACCCCUGUAGUC